GGAGGAUCCAAGCGUUAUCCGGAAUCAUUGGGUUUAAAGGGUCCGUAGGCGGUUUGGUAAGUCAGUGGUGAAAGCCCAUCGCUCAACGGUGGAACGGCCAUUGAUACUGCCAGACUUGAAUUAUUAGGAAGUAACUAGAAUAUGUAGUGUAGCGGUGAAAUGCUUAGAGAUUACAUGGAAUACCAAUUGCGAAGGCAGGUUACUACUAAUGGACUGACGCUGAUGGACGAAAGCGUGGGUAGCGAACAGGAUUAGAUACCCUGGUAGUCCACGCCGUAAACGAUGGAUACUAGCUGUUGGGGGCAACUUCAGUGGCUAAGCGAAAGUGAUAAGUAUCCCACCUGGGGAGUACGUUCGCAAGAAUG
This 365-nucleotide ribosomal RNA is filed under the name uncultured organism. RNAcentral describes it as "bacterial SSU rRNA". It matches the Rfam family "Bacterial small subunit ribosomal RNA", at positions 527 to 896 of the family's 1533-position model. The record is from RNAcentral.